RNAcentral lists this ribosomal RNA (253 nucleotides) under uncultured bacterium. Its description in RNAcentral is "partial 16S ribosomal RNA". It matches the Rfam family "Bacterial small subunit ribosomal RNA", at positions 524 to 776 of the family's 1533-position model. The record is from RNAcentral.
UACAGAGGAUGCAAGCGUUAUCCGGAAUUAUUGGGCGUAAAGCGUCUGUAGGUGGCUUUUUAAGUCCGCCGUCAAAUCCCAGGGCUCAACUCUGGACAGGCGGUGGAAACUACCAAGCUGGAGGACGGUAGGGGCAGAGGGAAUUUCCGGUGUAGCGGUGAAAUGCGUAGAUAUCGGAAGGAACACCAGUGGCGAAAGCGGCUUCCUGGUCCGACACCGACGUUCAGGCACGAAAGCGUGGGGAGCAAACAGG